CCAAGCACCCAGCUUCAACAACGGCCAACCCACGGCCGCUUCUGUUUCAUCCAACCAGUGCCUCUCAUCAGGGCAACACCGAAGAGCCAGGGAGGCGACUUACUAAAGCACGAAUUCGCUCAAGCCACUUGCCUGCCUAAGACACUGGAGCAACCUCCCUUGGCGCUUAGAACAAGCAAGACCCAGACUGCUCAUCCCGGCCCCCAGGCCCUGCACGAUCUGAUCCCUCGGCCUUGCCCACCAGCCUCAGGGCCUUCGCGCACGGGCAGCUGGGUUCACGCCCGUUCUCCCUCCUAGAGCAGUCUAGAGCAGGACCCGCCUCUCGGGCACGGCUACCCUUUCCGCAGCACCUUGCGUGUGGCAUUACUGGGACACGGGUCUCCAUGGGACACACGCUUCUGCACAUCUUACGAUCAAGAGAUGGUUCUCGACCAUCUCUCUAAGGGUGUUUGUACAGAGAACAGCUUCGGAAAAUGGGGUCUCCAGCCCAAGCAAAGGCGAGCAGGCAUGCUUACCGGCCAUUUUCAAAGCUGGCCUGGAUUCAGGAUUCUUCUCCUGUGAGCAACCCCACGCACACCGGAAUCUCUGCUUUGCGUUGCCCUGUGGGAAUUGGAGUUCCAGGACCCAGCCCACGAAAAGAAUGCUGAUACUGUUUCCUGCUUGGCUGUGAGUGAUAAAGCCCGUUGCCUCUGACCCAGGAAUGUCAUGCCUUCUGCCAGCACCCACGAAACGGCGGCAGGCCACUUGUUAGCUUACGAGUAGGGCAAAAGCCCAGAUUCUUUUUAGAUCUCGACAGGUGUGUGCCCAGUGUGUGUUUGCUACGUAGAACCACGCACUCUCUCCCGAUGGGCACUGAGCCCUUCAGCUCCCCCACUUAUCGGCAGACAUUGGUGGGUCAUUGCUGUCCCGGCUGGAAGAUGAAUCAGCGCGGAAAUCCUCAGCCAGAGAAGCCAAGGAAGCUCCGUAUCUAUGUCCCUCCCCUCUCCCUCCACUCCGGAUUUCCCAGCUGGACCCUCAGGGCUCGAAGCAAAGACCCCCACGUGGCACGUCUGACGCUUCGUGGGAUAAAUAAAUGGUGGGCGUAGCGUUG
Leopardus geoffroyi (Geoffroy's cat) is the source of this 1090-nucleotide long non-coding RNA. RefSeq lists it as uncharacterized. The record is from RefSeq and is a predicted model, not a curated record. NCBI's taxonomy places the organism in Eukaryota, Metazoa, Chordata, Mammalia, Carnivora, Felidae. The transcript is spliced from 2 exons.